AGCCUGGGUGUGAAUGGCAAGACAGUAGAUGAGUCUGGUUAAGCGAGGUCAGACAUCCACCAGAAUCAACUCAGCCUCAGGCAUCCAAAGCCACAUCACAGUCGGUGGUGAUGCAACUGGGGGCUUACUCUGAGGAAACCUAGGAAAUCUCGGUGUACUAGGAAGUGAAUCCUGCAGGACAGCUGCACUCAGGGAUACGCCCAACACCAUGGCCAGGGUCAAAGGUGAAGAAAGCAAGCUCACUGCCUGCACACGGAGAUUGUCUUUCUGCCACAGAACAGCUGCAAACGUGCCAGGAGGUUAGCUGAGAAAGAAAUCGGGCUGCUGCGGAG
This 332-nucleotide long non-coding RNA is filed under the name Androctonus crassicauda. The record is from RNAcentral. Lineage: Eukaryota; Metazoa; Arthropoda; Arachnida; Scorpiones; Buthidae.